UGGGGGCAACCCUGAUCCAGCAAUGCCGCGUGAGUGAAGAAGGCCUUCGGGUUGUAAAGCUCUUUUGUCAGGGAAGAAACAGCAGCUCUAACACAGUCUGCGAAUGACGGUACCUGAAGAAUAAGCACCGGCUAACUACGUGCCAGCAGCCGCGGUAAUACGUAGGGUGCGAGCGUUAAUCGGAAUUACUGGGCGUAAAGCGUGCGCAGGCGGUUAUACAAGACAGGCGUGAAAUCCCCGGGCUUAACCUGGGAAUGGCGCCUGUGACUGUAUAGCUAGAGUGUGUCAGAGGGGGGUAGAAUUCCACGUGUAGCAGUGAAAUGCGUAGAUAUGUGGAGGAAUACCAAUGGCGAAGGCAGCCCCCUGGGAUAACACUGACGCUCAUGCACGAAAGCGUGGGGAGCAAACAGGAUUAGAUACCCUGGUAGUCCACGCCCUAAACGAUGCUGACUAGUUGUUGGGAAUUUACAUUCUCAGUAACGUAGCUAACGCGUGAAGUCAGCCGCCUGGGGAGUACGGUCGCAAGAUUA
This 530-nucleotide ribosomal RNA is filed under the name uncultured prokaryote. Its description in RNAcentral is "bacterial SSU rRNA". It matches the Rfam family "Bacterial small subunit ribosomal RNA", at positions 372 to 896 of the family's 1533-position model. The record is from RNAcentral.